AAAAAGAAGACGCUGUUGAAUGUCACGGUUGCUGCCACCACACCUUCGAGACGUCUUCCAAGAAAUACAGUCAUAACUGCAUCAGUGCCACGGAGAGGCGACGCCACUUCUGCAGCCACCAGCUCUGCAACAGGCUCAAUAAGUCGCUGCAAUGGCAUACACGCAAAUGCCAGGUAUAGCAGCAGUGGGACAAGAUGCACCAUCUCCUGGCCAGCAGUUUGGAAUAAAAGCAACAGGUGGACCAAUGGUACAAGGUCCGACUCGAUCACCAGAGUUGAUUCAAUAUCAGGCAGGUCAUACUGCACAACCCCCGAAGGCAUUUCUACAGCAACUUGAGCUACGGUCGUUCUCCGUCAUGUGUCCACCUGGCUUGGAAUAUAUGUCGGGCAUUGCCCAACUCAUCAUCGAGAGACAACGAACGGGCGUCGGUGUUCUGAAUCGCUACGACGCACAAAGUAGAUACGCCAUAAAUACCAGCCAAAAUGAAACCAUUUACAACAUCGGUG
Long non-coding RNA from Ornithodoros turicata, 506 nucleotides. RefSeq lists it as uncharacterized. The record is from RefSeq and is a predicted model, not a curated record. The transcript is spliced from 3 exons. Lineage: Eukaryota; Metazoa; Arthropoda; Arachnida; Ixodida; Argasidae.